UGGUGGACAAGAUGGACCAAGAUUUGA
Molecule: non-coding RNA, 27 nt
Filed under: Homo sapiens (human)
Lineage: Eukaryota; Metazoa; Chordata; Mammalia; Primates; Hominidae
Source: RNAcentral